This 339-nucleotide transfer-messenger RNA is filed under the name Sphingomonas changnyeongensis. RNAcentral describes it as "Sphingomonas sp. C33 transfer-messenger RNA". It matches the Rfam family "Alphaproteobacteria transfer-messenger RNA". From Rfam's summary of the family: Bacterial tmRNA, also known as 10Sa RNA or SsrA, is named for its dual tRNA and mRNA-like properties. Lineage: Bacteria; Pseudomonadati; Pseudomonadota; Alphaproteobacteria; Sphingomonadales; Sphingomonadaceae. The record is from RNAcentral.
CGGCUUCACAUCCGCGCCGGAAUGCCUAUAUCGGUCAGUGCCGGCUUGCCGGCUAUGGCGAUAAACUGCGGCGUUCAAUAGGCGCAGCGGACCCGGGGGCAGUACCCGGCGGCUCCACCAGAAACCGCGGCUUCGCGGGUCCUGACGGGGCCGAACCAGGAUCGACGUGUGUUGAAAAGCGCUGUUUUCGCCCGGAAUGGGACCACCGCAACGGCCCAUAACACAAGUGCCAACGACAACGAGGCGCUCGCUCUUGCUGCGUAACUAAGUCCCCCUGGGGAUAAGGUUACAAAGCUAUAGCGCGGUCCGGGCCGCACCGGGCAACAGAAGCGGAAUCCA